This is a long non-coding RNA of Seriola aureovittata, 5369 nucleotides long. RefSeq lists it as uncharacterized. The record is from RefSeq and is a predicted model, not a curated record. NCBI's taxonomy places the organism in Eukaryota, Metazoa, Chordata, Actinopteri, Carangiformes, Carangidae. The transcript has 2 exons.
GUCGGGGUCGGUUCAGGAGCAGAUGAGGUCCAAAGGGCCUAACAUGAACGGCAGGAACAGUCUGUUAUAGCUGGAGUAACUGAAAUCAGCCCAGACCUUCUGACCAACCUCCUCUCUCCUCUGAACCUCUGAAUCUUCUGUCCUGUAUCUGACCCCUGACCAGAGGCUUCCACACCCCUCCUGCCCUGCUGAAGUGUCCUUGAGCAAAGCUCUGCCCCUCUGCUAGCUGCAGGGGGGGGAGGGGGUCCUGUCUAGACCUGAAAAAAUCUCAGACGGAUCCCCCCUGGAGGAUGAUCACUUUAAACGAAGAAAGGAGGCUUUUGCCUCUUUUCAUCGAAGAAACAGAAGAAUUUUUUUUUUUUUUAUGAAUCAGGAUUUAGAAUCAGGGGCCGCUGUUAAAAAUUGUCCAAAAAUGAGCCACAUCUCAGGUCCAGUAAACCACCAAGGACUACAUCCCCCAGAAUCCUUUUCUAUUCAGGAUAUCUGCGAAAUGACAGAAUGUCUGUAUUUUAAGAAAUAAAAACUGGCUCCAAAGUGUUUCCCAGAAUUCAUAGAAAAGUUUUCUCAAAACACUCUGAUCCAAGAGGAAGUGAGGAUUACUAAAUCUCCCAUAAUCCCUCAUUUUAACCCUCAUGCUGGUGCAAAGUGCCCCCCUGUAGAGCUGCUCUGGAGUUUCUUCAGUGGACCUUAUUUCCCAGGAUGCUUCACUCUGCCCAGCCCCACUGCUGGUGCUGAAUGAUUUAAGACUCUUGUUUUAGGAGAUGGGAAAGUCCCGCAAAUUCCUGCUACACUGGACUGGACUGUGCGUGUGUGUGUGUGUGUGUGUGUGUGUGUGUGUGUGUGUGUGUGUGUGUGUGUGUGUGUGUGUGUGUGUGUGUGUGUGUGUGUGUGUGUUUAUGUGUGUGUGUGUGUGUGUGUGUGUGUUUGUGUGUGUGUGUGUGUGUGUGUGUGUGUGUGUUUGCGUGUGUGUGCGUGUGAGAGAGAGAGAGAGAGAGAGAGAGAGAGAGAGACUUCAUAUGGUCUUAAUAAUCCUCCAGUUUAAAUAUAAACGUUGACUUCACUGAACUCUCAGAGGGGCCUGGACACACAGUUCAAAACUUCCUUUAGAAAAUGACUCAUUUUUGUUAAAGUUCUUUGUGUCUGCUUUGUGCAAAGGUUUUAUGUCAGACUACUUAGACUGCAGUUUGGGGCCAGUUGGAUGUUCAGUUGACACAUUGUGAGUCCCCCAGACGACAUAAGUGUUUUCAUUGUGGGUCCACAACAACAUUUUAAACCUUUUGUUUAAAACAUCUUUGGCUGCAUCUGGUGAAAAGAUCAAUUAGUAUUUAACUGCUUUAUAUUUUCAGUAUUUUAACAAUGACAUUGUUUUUAAUUUUCUGCUGUUUCUAGUGAUUUGCUGUAUGCUCCUGAUUUCACUGUUUUCUAUUUUGCAUCUCUCAUGCUUAAAUGUCCCAACUAACUGAAGCAGGGAUGCAAAAUGGUGGAGCCGACAGGCAGACGUCUGCAGGUUGUAAACCUUCGGGACAGGGUUCAUGUUCAGGUUGACAGUUUGGUUGAUAUGUGGAUGGAGUUGAUUUAUAAGACUCAUAGAUUAAAUGUGUUUAAUAUAUUCUUGAUGAAAAAGAACUCAUGUCUGAAGCAGUGAGAGUUUUAUGAACUGAAAACAAACUUUUUCUAAGCUUUGUGGAAAGAAAAGGUUCAUGAACUCUAGAAACAAGUUUUAAGUUCAGCUGCCAUUUGGACAAAAAAACUGAUGUAAAACUCGACUCAAUGCUUGACCAAAAAAACAAUCGAAUUCCAGCACUUUCUGAAAAUCAGAGUAACUUCAGUCCAGGUCCAGGAUUUAAAAUCCUUGAGGUCAAAACUACAAAUUCCCCCAGCAGAACCCGACCCACCAACCAAACUCUGUACAAGUUUCUCAGUAUUUCAAAAUAAGUCACAGUUUUUCACACAUUAUUUAUUCGUGUAAAUGUUCGAUUGCAUUUUCCAACAAUUAUAUCUCCCAACAUGAUGGUCUACAUGUUUCAAAGCCUUCUCUACUCUCACUAACUAACUAACGAACUAACUGUAACUCAAGUUAAUUUAUUUCACAUUAAAGAUUUUCAACCCAAAACAGGAUCAGCCUUUAAAACUGUAGAAUGUAAAAUCCUCUCUAUAGCAUUAAACCUCCACAGUGUGCGGACGUAUCACUGAGAACAUGAUCUCGGUGUCUUCAGUAGCUUUGGCCCUGCACCAGACUUCUACUGACAAAGCAACACAUUUUACAUGAACUGGAGGGUCUUUAUUUCUUUAAAGCUUAAACCAUCUGAGUCUGGUCAUUUGUUAUAUGACUUGUUAUAUGAUUUGGCUGGAUAAAACUAAUACCACAGUUCAAGGAAGUAUUUCAGUAUUGAUUGAUUGUUAACUGUGCUUGUCCCAAAACAAACACAAAAGGAAAAGGAGCAUAAAGAUGUGAUGACAUCUGUGUACACUCAGACUGCGGAGGGUUUCCCACUCAGCUGUUGUCUGCACUACCCUGGGCGGUUGCUGUGGUAACCACUGAGUCACGGUGUUCCCCUCGCCGUGGUGACCGGCUACUUCCUACCUGUGGCCGAGACUGAAGAGGCCAAAACAUCUAUUUAAGGAAAAUCUGAGCUGCUGCUGCUCAUCUCAGUUUCCUCAUGGACAGUGUGGUGUGUUCACUGGAAUCCUUAGAGCGUGGGAGGAUUUACACUUCCUCUCCAACCUCCUCUGUCGAGAAAAGAUUUUCUCCGUUACUCCUCCACAGUCAAACCUGAGCUGUCAGUUAAUUGCACUGUGUAGGAGCUGUACCACAGCCAGCUGAAAUGCUGACUUUACAUCAUGUGUCAGACGCUCAGAUCAGCUGAAAAUGUAAACAACAGCAAUAGAUGCUAAACAGCCUCUGACAUGAAACUGAGAGAGCGUUUUGAAUCAGGUUGUUUCGCUGCUCUGUAGCAGCCAGGUGUGUUCACUGCCUCCUAGUAGUCGAACUCAGGGACCCGUGGUAUUAAAACACAGCUGCAGUUACUACCAGUCACCACUGGAGUCACCGAACCAACCAAUCUGAAGGUGAAUCUGACACCCCGCCUACACAGGCAGCGCUACAGUCAUCCAUCGCCUUCACACAUGAUGUGUUCAAGUGCAAUCCUUCUCUGUAGAGUAUGUAAAAAAUGCGAGAUAUCACUCGGCUGGUGUAGAGAUCUGUAGCUGUUUCUUCCAGACCCUGGUCUCGCUCAGACCACCUGUCCCGUCACAGACCUGCAGGUACAGACUGUAACCCUGGUCUUUCUCUAACCUUCAACCAAGUGUUUCAUUUUGUUAACUCUAACCAAAGUUUGGCCAUAAUUCAUCUGCCAAAAACACAACCUCUCCUCAUCCUGUAGCUGACGUGUGCAAAUACUGUAGAGAGUGAGAAUUUAAAGAACGUCAGUGUUGGAGGAAGGUUCGUCCAGGAUCCUCCUUCAGAUACACUCUGGUCUGGCUACAGGGCUGAAAAUUCAUUAUCUACUCGUGAGGUCUGAACUCUGUGACCAUUGGUACUGUACACACCAACAACCUAAUACAUGAACUGUGUAGAGAAUAUCAGGGACUUUACAGCUCAGUAAAUUCCUAUUGUUUGAUUGUGUAACACUGAGUCUGUCAGGUGUCAGCACAGUCUCUCUUCAGCCUUCAGGUUGUUGUCGACUUCUUGAGUCGUUUCUCCUCUGAUUCUUAGAAACUCAGACCUGUUCUCAGGAUCAGUUGUUGGCUGCCAAAGUCUGGCUCCUUUCUGUUUAUCGCAACCAUAGUUCCUCUCUUCCUCUUCCCCUUCCCCUUCGUCCCCUCCACAUGGGAUCCCCCUCCUCCUGGCUUACAGUUCAGCAACACUGGAGAGCACUUUCCCCUCAGUCUCGCCUUCAGGCAGAAAUAACACAUCAAGAUUUUGAGAAGAUCUGGUGACAAAUACCUGGAUCUGAAAUCUCUAAUCCUCUCUGUGUUUAUCUGUCUUGGUGAAAUCAAGCUUUCUCACUCUCAAUUUAUUGUUAUGCCUUUUUGUUGUUGUUUAUCAAAGAUGUUGUUGAUUUUAUUGAACUGUUUGUAUUAUUGUACACUCUCUUUCUGAAUAUGUGUUGCGUAGUUAGUAUUGUAUGAAUGCACCUAUUAAGAGUAUUGAUCACAAAGCAUUUCUGUGACUUUUGGCACCUUGAGCCUUUGUGGCUCCUGUUGUCCACACCUACAGGAGCAACAAAUAAGAAGUUAACCAAGACGUUUUAUUUUUUAGCAAAUAUUCUUCUUACUUUAAAUAGACUUUAGUCUGAUAUGAACCAAACAACAACCUCCACAGCCGAGUGUUGAGUCUCUGGAGCUGCAGUUCCUCUAAUGUCCACCAGAGGCUACUAUAUAAAUUAUUCUUUCGUUAAGAAGAAAUUCAGGCUCAGAUGUGUGUUUGUGGACAUGAUUGUGUGAUUGACAGGUGUCUCAGCCUAUCACACUCAGCUGUGGAGGUUGUCGUGGUCUGACAAUGAAAAUGGAUGUAAAAUCAUGAUUUAAGAAACCUGCUGUUUUAAUGACAAUCUGCCAACAGGCGAGAUUUGAGAAACACCAUGAACAUGAACCUGAUCCUGUUUUAGUUUAUUUGAAGAAGAGUAAUACUAAUGGUUUUCGUUUGCAUUAACAUUAGCUAAUGAAAAUCAUCACGGCCAUGUGAAAGAAAGAUCCUGAGAAAAAGUUUGAGUUUGAGAUUAAAGACUUAGUCCUGAUAUCCAGGAAGAUGAUAUUUUUAUCUCAUGUGCACAAGAUAUUGGAUGUUAGAUCUACGAGUUAUAAAAACUUGUAUUACCAAGAAGUUUUGUGAUCAAGAAAUAAUAAACUUGUGUUAAGAUAAUUACUUUUGUGAGCAUGACAUUUGGUGAACAUGAAGGAAAAAAAUCGUCUUUCAGGACUUUCUGUAAAUGUUUUCUGUAAAUGUUUUUUGAGAAAACAUCAGAUGUCUGAGAUUAAAGCUACACUCCGAUUUUGUUUUAACGCAUCCAAAUCCCAAAUUUCCUCCGAGCUCCAUGUUUGAUUUUUUCAAAAAGCAGCAAGUUGGAAAGAAUUUUUGGAUGUUUCAAAGUGUCUUUAAAGUCAUAACAAAUUAAUCUCAUUACUCAAUCUAUAGUUUUUCACAUGACCUUAAAAUCUCUUUUUCAUGAAAUACACACAGUGUUCACACAAAAUCUUAAAGUGAUAUGAAUGUGUGAUUUUUGUAUUUUCUGGUGUUUGUCUUGUGUUUGGUUUUGUUAUGUAACUUCCUCCUCUGCAGAAACAGAAAUACAGAUUGACUUUAUUCCUCCUUGUUAUGUAACAUGAGUCUCAUGGCGGCUGAAUAAAUCUGCUGUUUUCUCUCCAAA